ACUGGGCAUGGUGGCACAUGCCUGUAAUCCCAGCUACUCGGGAGGCUGAGGCAGGAGGAUCUCAAAUUCUAGGUCAACCUAGGCAACUUAAUAAGACCCUGUCUUAA
Molecule: small RNA, 107 nt
Filed under: Marmota monax (woodchuck)
Lineage: Eukaryota; Metazoa; Chordata; Mammalia; Rodentia; Sciuridae
Source: RNAcentral